Molecule: ribosomal RNA, 546 nt
Filed under: Triticum aestivum (bread wheat)
Lineage: Eukaryota; Viridiplantae; Streptophyta; Magnoliopsida; Poales; Poaceae
Description: partial small subunit ribosomal RNA
Source: RNAcentral
AUGCCUCAUGUCGAGGGUGCUGGUGCAAUUCCUAUUGGUGGUGGUCAAGUGGGGUUCGCGAAGCUGCAGGGUGAGGAUUUUGAGUACUACAUGCAGACCUACUCGAUCAUGUUGGGCCGCAACAGCAAGAAAUCGUCGGUGGAUGUCGAUCUCUCCAGUCUUGGUGGGGGGAUGAACAUCUCGCGCCACCACGCGCGGAUAUUCUACGACUUCCAGCGCCACCGUUUCGCGCUUGAUUUCAUCGGCAAGAAUGGCUGCCAUGUUGAGGGCGUCCUGCAUCUCCCUGGGAAUCCUCCUGUUAAGCUUGACUCGCAGGACCUCCUUCAGAUUGGGGACAAGAAGUUUUACUUCCUCCUGCCCACGAGGUCUAUCUUUGCGUCACUUGCCGCUGCUCGACAAGCCCCUGUUAUUCCCUCACAGGUCUCGCCGCCAUCGUUUGUGCGGCCAGGGCACCUCGUGUGUCCAAUUUCAGUGACCACUUCUCUGAAGCUGAUUAUGGCCGGGACAGUGAUGACAUUGGGAAUGGUGUCAGUGAAACUGGAAUGA